Molecule: ribosomal RNA, 489 nt
Filed under: uncultured marine bacterium
Lineage: Bacteria
Description: bacterial SSU rRNA
Rfam family: Bacterial small subunit ribosomal RNA
Source: RNAcentral
AGAGUUUGAUCCUGGCUCAGGAUGAACGCUAGCGGCAGGCCUAAUACAUGCAAGUCGAGGGGUAAGAGUCAGCUUGCUGACUACACGACCGGCGCACGGGUGCGUAACGCGUAUGCAACCUACCUUUAACAGAGGAAUAGCCCCGAGAAAUCGGGAUUAAUACCACAUAACAUUAUGAUAUGGCAUCAUAUUAUAAUUAAAACUCCGGUGGUUAAAGAUGGGCAUGCGUGACAUUAGCUAGUUGGUGAGGUAACUGCUCACCAAGGCUACGAUGUCUAGGGGUUCUGAGAGGAUGAUCCCCCACACUGGUACUGAGACACGGACCAGACUCCUACGGGAGGCAGCAGUAAGGAAUAUUGCGCAAUGGAGGCAACUCUGACGCAGCCAUGCCGCGUGCAGGAUUGAAGGCCUUAUGGGUCGUAAACUGCUUUUAUUUAGGAAUAAACUUUCGUACGUGUACGAAACUGAAGGGUACUAAACGAAUAAGCA